Apis laboriosa (Himalayan honeybee) is the source of this 784-nucleotide long non-coding RNA. RefSeq lists it as uncharacterized. The transcript has 3 exons. NCBI's taxonomy places the organism in Eukaryota, Metazoa, Arthropoda, Insecta, Hymenoptera, Apidae. The record is from RefSeq and is a predicted model, not a curated record.
AUUGAUAUCGUGAGAUUGGAGAAAGAAAUCGAAUUUUGAUUUUUUUUCAAUGGACUACUACAAUACUCUAGUAAAACAAAACAUCUUUUUUUUCCUUUUAUACUUCCAUUCACUCUUGCUAUGCGUUUUAAAUGCAUGGGAAAGCAGAAAAAAUUCUGAUAAAAAUAAGUCAUUUUUUCCAAAUACAAAAUGAUUUUUUGGAUUAUUACAGAAAGAAUUUUAUUAAAUAAAAAAUCGGAGGAAAAAGUGGAAACAUACAAGAAGGAAAAUGUACAUGGCCCAUUGUGGUUGCAUUAUAGCGAGCUAUAACCGAACAAAAGAAAAUUUUAAAAGAAUGUUAUAGAAUAGCUGAUGAAGAAAAAAUAUAACGUGUAAAACAAAUUUAUGAAGAGAUUGGUAUAUCAAAUAUCUAUUUGGAUUACGAAGAAGAAACGCAUAAUUUAUUGAAUACGUAUAUACAGCAAUUAUCUUCGAAACUUCCGACUAAAUAUUUUUUAUACUUACUCACUACAUUAUGUAGUAAAAUAGGAUAAAGAGAUUAGUUGUACAAUAUAUGAAAAAUAUGGGAACACAUCCGAUUACCAGAGAUUCCUAAGAUAAUUUCCUAUGCAAAAAUUUUUGUUGCAAUGAACGAAUUAUUAACGAAAAAUUAUUUACCAAUCAAAUACAUGACCUAGACAUAGAGAUAGUGGCUACUGUAUACAAACAAAUUCGAAGUAGUAAUCAAAGAAACUGUGUUACAAAUAUUUUUUAAUAGAUGAAAAAUAUAUAUUUGGAAUAAAAA